Molecule: ribosomal RNA, 449 nt
Filed under: uncultured bacterium
Lineage: Bacteria
Description: partial 16S ribosomal RNA
Rfam family: Bacterial small subunit ribosomal RNA
Source: RNAcentral
AACGAACGCUGGCGGCAUGCCUAACACAUGCAAGUCGAACGAAGCCUUCGGGCUUAGUGGCGCACGGGUGCGUAACGCGUGGGAAUCUGCCCUUUGAUUCGGAAUAACAGUUGGAAACGACUGCUAAUACCGGAUGAUGACGAAAGUCCAAAGAUUUAUCGCCAGAGGAUGAGCCCGCGUAGGAUUAGCUAGUUGGUGUGGUAAAGGCGCACCAAGGCGACGAUCCUUAGCUGGUCUGAGAGGAUGAUCAGCCACACUGGGACUGAGACACGGCCCAGACUCCUACGGGAGGCAGCAGUGGGGAAUAUUGGACAAUGGGCGAAAGCCUGAUCCAGCAAUGCCGCGUGAGUGAUGAAGGCCCUAGGGCUGUAAAGCUCUUUUACCCGGGAUGAUAAUGACAGUACCGGGAGAAUAAGCCCCGGCUAACUCCGUGCCAGCAGCCGCGGUAA